This is a non-coding RNA of Rattus norvegicus (Norway rat), 23426 nucleotides long. NCBI's taxonomy places the organism in Eukaryota, Metazoa, Chordata, Mammalia, Rodentia, Muridae. The record is from RefSeq and is a predicted model, not a curated record.
GCUAAUGAGGAUUAAUACGCUGUUGCACAGAGGAAGCCGGAUUCUCCUUUGUGUGCUGAGUCUGAUCCACAAGAAAUAAAGAUGUCUCCCUGGGUCCCUUUGAAGUCAUCUGCAUUUGGCUCCCUUUCUCUCCCUUUUGUCCUGUUUUAUCCUCGAAGAACAUUUUAAGGGUCUUGUAGAUGCCCGCUUUCUAAACUCACUCUGUGGAGUGGUUGUCCUCUAGCUGCCUAGGGGAACCCCAGCAAUAGGACACAUUUGACACGCUCCUGUGCAAAGGCAACAUUACACCUCAAGAUGUUAAAAUCCAAAGAGCUCAAAGGAAUAUAAUAUUUCUAUAGGUAAAAAGUCACGGGGUGGGCGAGGCAGCUCAGUGGUUAAAAGUACUUGCUGCUCUGACGGAGGACAAGAACUCAAUUCCUAGUCCCCCCUCACCAAUCAGGGGCCUCAAGACCACAUGUGAGUCCAGCUCCAGGGCAUCUAACACCCUCCUCUGCCCCUGGCUUCCACAGACAGCUUCACUCACACGCACACGCAUUCAUACAGACACAGAUCAAAGUGAUUGAAAUAAAUCAUCGAAACAUUUUAAGUCAUACCGGUGCCUAUAGGUGAUAUCAAUCAAAAACUGAUUGUGUAUUUGUGGAGCAUUUUGUGUACUCAUCUGGUAAGGAUGAUUAAACGUCUACUCUGGUCAUAGGCUGCCUGUCCCCUCUUGCCAGCUCAUGCAAGUGGGAUGACUUGAGCAACCGCCCAAAUGCUAUUCAGGUGUCCCCUCGGAGUUAAGUGACAUGGGAGAAGGGCCCAGAGGGAGAGACAGAAGUGAGAUGAAGCCUCUUCCUCCAGGUGGAUUUUCUCAGGAAGGACAAGGUAGCUGAGAAUGAAGGUGUUGGCUGUCGUUAGGAUGAGGAUCUGAAGAUAGUUUAGGAAGAGGAUGCAGCCUGCAAACAUCGAUCUGCAAAUAGACACACGUUAAAAUGGAAAGCAACCUCAGCAAUUCAAGGAACGGGGGCUGGAGGUGCCAAAGGAUUCUUGUCAGGAUCUGAGAGAGCUGGGGUGACUACCAGUCCCUAGUAGGUCUUGAAGGUAUGGAGAAGGUACCCAGUGUCUCUGAACAAACCCAGUGUUGUGAGUUUAGUUUGUGUAUCCUGGAGGCAGGCUGGGGAUGUGAGAGAGACCCCUUGGAGUUGUCAGUAAGGUAAGAUGAAGUCUUUCACGUGGGCCUGAAUCCAAGGACUGGUGUUUUUAUGCAACAAAGGAAAUUUGGACACAGACAUAAAAAGUAAGGGACAAGAGAAGACACGGGAGGGUGUCACGUGAUAACAGAGGUGAGGUGAGAUGCCAGGCAACACUGGAAGCUGGGAGAAGAAAGGGACCCGCUUAGAGCCUUCAAAGAGAGUCUGGACCUGCAUCCUCCUCCUCCUCCUCCUCCUCCUCCUCUUCCUCCUCCUCCUCCUCCUCCUCCUCUUCCUCCUCUUCCUCCUCUUCCUCCUCCCCUUCCUCUUCCUCUUCCUCCUCCUCCUCCUCUUCCUCCUCCUCCUCCUCCUCUUCCUCCUCCUCUUCCUCCACUUCCUCUUCCUCUUCCUCCUCCUCCUCCUCCUCCACCUCCUCCUUCUCUUCCUCCUCCCCUUCCCCUGCUUUCAGAUAAGGUCUCAAUAUGUAUUCCAAGCUUGCCCCAAACUUUUAAUCCUCCUGUCUCAGCUUCCUUGAAAGCUGGAAUCACACAGGUUUUUGCCAUGUGUCCAAUUCCUUGUUUUCAUGACCUUAAGAAAUGCGUUUCUGUGGUUUUUAAGUCUCCUAGCUUGGGGACUUUGUUUCAGCUUCCCUAGAAAUCCAGGGCACCCUUAAAGCCGCGGAAGAGUUUUAAGUGCAGGGAGUUUUAGCGGUGUAGACUGGCAUAUGGAUGGCAUUUUGGUUUUCAGAGGAUCCAGUUAGCAGCAGAAUGAACAUCACCAGACUGGAGAGGUCAGAGUGGAGAAGGAAAGAGAGAGGGCAAUGGGGGGGGUGCUCUGGAGGCUGCUGGGGAGAGGUCAUCAGAGGGGAGACUCUAAAGGCUGCUGGGAGAGCAAUGGGUUUUGGGCACUGGAGACUAGCAGGGAUCUCUGUGGAGUGAAAGAUGUGCCUGGCCAGGCCAGGUGGGCUGGGAAGGCUACAUGUUUUAUAGGGCGCUGCAUCUCUGAGCACAUGGAUUCAUGUUCUACACCACUAUGGACUUGGCAGACCCCAACUGGAGCAUCCCAGUGACAAUGGAAUUAUUUUCCCAUUUCACACAUUGAAUUGUUUCUUGUCUGAGUUAUAAUUGCUUUUUUACAUAAUAACAAAAACCCCCACUCAAGAACGACAGAGCACAAAGAACUACUUUUCACCUCCUUCACAGAUGUAGCCGAAGAGGCCGUGAUUGAGGGGGAAGCAGCUGUUUCAAACUGUGGACCAUUAAUGACUUAAGACGUGGUUGGAUCUGGGCUUAGGGGCUCUCAGAGACAAGCUAUUGACAUCGUCAUUAAAGGAUCAACACAAUUCUCUGGCCAUCAACCUGGCAUAUAGAUUAUGCAAAGAACGAUGACACACGUGACUUCCUCAGGGCCCUUUGAUGCUGGUGGAUCACUGUCUCUGCAGAAUGUUGUGAGGAACAGAGCAGUGAGUCCUACUUCUUAAGCAACACCUUCCUGGCUCUGUAAGGGGAAGGCAUUGUCUUGUGUAUCAUGCAUUGUGAGCCACUGCUAUAAUAAAAUACUCAAGGCUGUAUAAUUUUACGUUCCUCGUAGGUUUUGAAUCUGAAAGCCAGACAUCAGGCCAACCCCCAUGGAUGAGCCCUCUGGUGAAGACUUCAGUCUGAGGCUGUCACAGCAGUCACCACCCAUGGGGAUGAGGUCCCACGUGACACCUGAAGCCACAGGUGGGGGUGGCCCUAGUCUCUCUCAUUAAUGACAGCUCAUCUCUGGAGACCUGACUAACACCUUUCCAGGGAAGGCAAUGCUGUCACAGUGAUCCAGUCUCUUACCAGGCCCUUUCUCUUAAGGAGCCGUGCCAGGGACCAAGUUCCCAGCCCAUGGAUCUCAGGGAUCAGAUUGUAUCAAACUGUGCACCUCAUGAUGGUUGUCAUAGACUCAAAGCUGAGUCUUGGCUUGAGGAUCUAAAAGCAGACAAUCCGACAAAAUAACUUCAGGACAGAAUGCAGUCAGAGGCUCACUGGCCUUCCAUUUACUGCUCCCCUAGAGCAAAGGGGCUUCUGGGGAUCUUGAUGCAGUGAGGGAGAAUUUAAGCUGUGCAACCUGGGUUUGUGAGAAGGGUGAAUAUAUCUCCCACUUGUUACUCUGGACGACAUCCUUGGUCCCUGUUGGAGUAGGUCUUGGUGAAAGGUGAUAAUAUAUAUAUCAGUGAACAUUCUAGAAGUGUGAGGGGGUGCAAGAGCCGAAGAGGCCUCUAUUUGGGUGCCCCAGAGUGACUUUAGUUUUGUCCCUAUACCGUGGCAAGAGAGCCAAAGAGUAGAAGAGAUACAAAGGAGGCAGGAGACAUUGCUAGAUAAAUUCUGGUGGAUCCAGAUGGGUUUCCAACCAGCGAUCCCAGGGAAGAAAGACAGGGCAUCUUCACAGAGGUCACACGGACACGCUGAUCAUGAAGAACCACCAGAUCGUUUUAUAACUGGGAGCCUCUGAAACUCAGGAACUAAGUCAACUCAGAUGCCCUGGGUUGACUGAGAUGAAGUCCCUGUCAUCUGACAGAGAGGGUGCUUAUCGCGAGAACUUCAUCCCACUGCAGAGAAGAAAGUCGAACUUAGGUCUUUGGCUCCUUAGGUAUUUUCCCCGUGGGGACAGACACACACUUACUGCAGAGGAGCAUCCCACAUGGCAGAUGAUGCCAGAUGCAGUGCACGUUUUAUACAUCCAUCAGCCUGGGGCCCACACCAGCAUGACAGAGCAUCGCUGUCUGCUGUGGGUCCAGGGUGGAGAUCCUCCAAGUUCAACUGACUGUCACCUCCCCGUGGCCCUUACAGUAAUGCUACUUAGCCGUGGACCGUCACCUUCAAAAUGCACUGGUCCCAACGCUGGAACCAGGAUGUGUUAGGAUUUGGGUACUGCGGUGCUAUUUUAUGAUUUUGCAGUCUACCUGUACAGCCUCCUACACUUCUCCAAAGCCUGUGUCUCCUAUCACUCUUUGGAACAGGAGAUAAAGAUAUCCUCUUUCCUUUACAUAAGUGUUCUACCUUCUAUUUUGUUGAUGUGAAGCAUGCCAAGACCAAAGCAACUCAGGGGAGGAGAGGGUUUAUUUUAGCUUAUAGGCUACUGUCGUUCAUCAACGAGCAAUGCCAGGGUGGGAAGUCAAGCAGGAACUGAAGUAGAAACCUUGGAGGAUCCUCCUUACUGUCUCCCUCUCCAGCACAUGCCCAGCAGGCUUACUUAUACAGCCCGGGACCCGCUGCCUAGGAAUGACGCCUCCCAUGGUGGGCUAGCCUCUCACAUUAACCACCAAUGACGACAAUCACUCACAGCUUUCCCACAGGCCAACCUGAUUGAGGCAAUUCUUCAACUGGGGCACCCUCUUCCCAAGUGACUCUCGGUCGUUCAAGUUGACAACAGAAAACUAACCCGUGAAACAAGUAAAAUGAAGGAGAGUUUCGACUCGCCUGGAGUCAGAGAGCAGGAAAGAAAUAACCAUUGUAACAACAAUUAAUGCUGAUAAGACAGAUCAUGAUCAUUGCUUAAUUUCUUUCUCUGAGUGCAUUUCUGGUCAACAAUCCCACUAAGUAGGUGUGUUACGUGCUCGGUGAUCCAUGAAGAUAAGGUUACCCUUAGCAGCAUCAACAAGGUUCACACAAACAAAAGUGUCAAAGGUGUGUGCCAAUUUUGUGACCCUGAAGGAAGAUGCCAUUGACGUGUCAUUUAAUCCUCAAAAUAGCCUUUAGCAUUCAAGCCAGGAAGGUCAAUGCCUAGCGUUGCAUGGCCAGUUCUGCAUGUAGUCUCACCACAUGCUCUUCACCCUGCGUAUUUGGUAGUAUUUGGUAGCAUCUCCAAGGGAAGACACCAGGCUGUGGUUGGUGUAUACAGCCUUUCUUCCUGGUGCUUUCUAAGCCCAACAGCUCUCAAACUUCAGUGGACAUUAAAAUGACCAAAGAAGGCCAUGUGCCAAGGCGUGAGCACACGUGUGUGUACAUUGACACUGAUAUUAGAUUCUUGUCUUCUGUGGACACAGGGGCUCAAAGAAAAGAAAAAAAUGUGUAUGCAUGUAGGUGCUUGUCUGAAUGUGUGUGGGCAUGUGCGGGCGUGUGUGUGCAUGUGUGGGCAUGUGUGUGCAUGUGUGUGCAUGUGUGUGUAUGUGUGUGUAUGUGUGCGCAUGUGUGUGCAUGUGUGUGGAGAGGCCAGAGGCUGAUGUCCAGUGUCUUCCUCGACCUCUUGCCCUAUACAGUAAGUCAGGGCUUCUCAUUUAAACCCGGAGCUUGCCUGCUGGUUUGGUCAUGCUAGUCCAUUUUCUCCUGGGCUCCCUCAUUUCCUGAGUGUUGGGAUUAGCGGUGGGCUGCCAUGUCUGUGUGGUUCUUAUGAGGAUUGGGAGACUCAACUUCCUGAGGCAUGUAUGGUAGAGACUUUGUCUACGGAGCCGUCUCCUCCCAACCCCUCAAUGAAAUUAUAACGCGGUUAUUAAAAAAACCACACAUGUAAUAGAGAUAGAGGAUUUUAGAAACCUAAGAUAAUUCUGAAUAGCAUUUUCUUCAUGGCCUGGCUUCAGACCCUGAAGCUGUGUGACUCUGAAGUCAUGCCUGCUCUGUGACAUUGGUUUUUCUCGAGCCAGCACCCAAGACCUGCUCUCUGCUCUGACAUCUCGGGGGUUUUUCCUCAUUGUAAUCGAGUGCCCCCCGAUUUAAAAGCACGUGGACGGUCUCAUAAAUACCCAUUGACUGUCUCGUUGAUUGGCCACCCUGAUCUGACCUAAUCUGAAAGUUUUAAGUUUCUCAAAUAGCCCUUCACCUUGCCAGCUCUUAAGAGCCAAGCACUUGCCGUGUAGACCGGGCAAUUUGCCAUUGAUAAAUCUAAACUGGGGUUUCCAAUUGUAAUACACAGCAGCACAGAGUGUCAGCUCCCUACUGGAUUCACGCGGGUCUAUUCCAGACCGCCACUCACUAUAUGUGCCGUUUCCUAACACUCACCUGGAAAUCUGUGUUUACUCUUCCUUCCCACGGCUCUAAGUGCAAUCUAUUUUAAUUUCCCCCUUGCCAAAUAUUUGGUUGCUGACAAACACAUUCAAAUUUCCUUGCAUAUUUAUGCCUGUGAUUUUUGUGAUCAAAUUGAGUGGCAGGUAAAUUACUUCUGAUUUUUGUGUAUACACACGCGCGCGCGCGCGCGCACACACACACACACACACACACACACACACACACACACACGUGAAUUUCAGAGGAUAUCUAGUAUUUCAAAUAUUUUGCCAAGUGGGUUCAGUUGUAUGCACCUAGGUUAAAUGUGGUGUCUGGUGCAACUCAUUCUCCGAUGAUUGGGAAAGAUCUCUGUGAUCUUGGGGCGGGCAGUGCGGAAAGAUUGUAAGAACCUGAGGGAGAAGUAAACAUUUGCCACCAAACAGUAUUUGCUGGACAUGACAGUGGCCAUUGCACACGUGGACUCACAGCACACGCGAUUAGAUGCUACCUCUGAGAUCCUACCAGCCAGAAUCCCGGCACGGAGGGGGAGGGGCUUGUUCCAGCACAAAGGGGUGGGGCUCGCAAAACCCCACCCAUCUCUUCAUAGGCAGUUGAUGGCUGCUGGCCGGCAGGGAGAGCCAUUUUUCUUCAGGGUUAUAGCCCCGGAGAGGUGACCCAGGCUCCAGUAGAUGACCCUACAUCUGUGCGCACACUGCUAGCACUAAACCUGACCGGGGGUUAGACAAACAAAGAAAGAACACACGAAGUUUGGUGGAAAAAGUGGUGUCUAGGGGAGAAAUUGGAAGUGAGGGAACAGGGGCUAGAUUUGACCAAAACACGUUAAAUGUGCACACGGAAUCCUCAAACAAUAAAAGCAGAGUGUCCAGAAAUUAAGAGUGCAGCGUAUAGCGGUUCAGAUGGUUGUCCGCUAAACUAUUUCCUUUCUGCAUCUCGAUCUCCCAAGAAUUUUCUCUGACUUACGAUUUCCACCUCACAAACCUCACGCACUACCAUUCUGAAUGACUUUCCCCUGCAUUUGCACAGCACUUCACAGUUUGCUGAGCAUUUCUUGGUAAAUUUUUCUUUCACCCUCACAAAUGGCCCUUCGGGGAUGGCAUUGUCCAUUUCUGCUGUGGAGAGGAGCUGAGGCCAACUUACGAUGUGGCUCGGUGGAGAAUUAAAACCAUCUUUUAAGAGUUCAAGAUCCCGCUGGCUUUCCUGUACCACAGCUGCUUCCUGGUACGGUUUAAACACACAUCCCGCUAUAAAGAUUUCUUGGAAGACAGAUGGUCCACAGUUUUAAGAAGCUUCGCUGAUGUGUUUUUAAGUCCUGGGACACUAACUUAAACGGCAGAGAAAAGUGAGAGGGAGCAAAUUCCUGGCAGGAGAAUGACCUCAGCAAAACCUUGAAGACCGUUGCCUUUGCCCCGAAGGACCAUAUCUCCAAAGUUUGGGGUGGCUGGGAGAAGGGCAUUGCUUAUUUUCAAAAUGGAUUUUGAACUAGAACCAUGCAAGAGAGAAAAUGUCUCUUUCGAUUGCCAAAAAAAAAAAAAAAAAAAAAAAAAAAAGAAUGAAAAAGAAUGAACCAUUUGGAGAACAUCACACCGAAGAGGUCUGUAUUCUUUCUAGAACCUUCAUGGGUAGAGUUUCAGAUUAAAUCCCUGAGGAGAACAAGAGAGAAACAGAUACAGCCUGUCAGCAGAAGGAAGAUCCAAGUCUGACGAGGUAGGAAGACAGUCCAGGCCAUCCGUCCCUCAAGCUACUCUGUAGACGGCAGAUGAGAGGAAUUCAGACACAGGGCACAGUGAAUGUACAUCCUCCUUCCUUCCCUAGGCUCCUCUGUGCGAGUUCUGUUGAAAAGCUCACUAAGGUAGCUCAGGCGCAUGCAUGCUUUGGGUCUGGAGGAUGAAGCCCCAGAGUGACUCUGUCUGUUUGUUACGCAACUAGGACCUGCACCUUGCCCACCGCAUUAAAACGUAAGGAAGGAACUUUCUGUGUGCCGAAAGAGGGAGCUAAGAGCCAUAGUGAUGAGGCUGAGGCCAUAGCUCACCUCUGCCUUGCAAGCAUGAGGACCCUGGUUUGCCCCUGAGACCACAUGUUCAGUUCCCAGCAUCCACACUGGGUGACUUGAAACCUUCUGUGACUCCAGCUCCGGGGUCUCUAACGCCUCUGGCUGCCUCAUGCACCUGCACUCAUGUGCACAUUCACACAGACAGACAGACAGACAGACAGGCAGACAGACAGACACGUUCACACACAAAAACUGGUAAGAAAUUUAAGCAUGCAUCACCGUACUUAGCUUUCGUUUAUUUAUUUACUCAUUUUAAUGUGGUCUCUGAGGAUGGGAAUCAGUCGUUAUAUUUUCAAGGUGAGUACCUUACCAGCCGAGCCCCACUGUGGCCUAACGACUUUCAGAGGACACAUUCGGGCACAUUGAGAAUAUGUUAGGAUUCUUCACUCACUUUCAUGAGAGAAGACCGUCCCACGUUCCUCCCUUCUGUUCAGGGCAUUAUUCAUUUCAGGCUGUUUUUGCAGCACACAGAAGGAUGCUGAGCUUCCCAAAGGAGGAGAGUAAGCUUUACUUUUUUUUUUUAAGUGGAAGAAAUUGAGUCCGGUUUCAGCUAUUUCAAUUAGCAAAGCUGUUAUUGCAAAUACCCACUUCCUGCCAAAAAGUGUACCGAACACCACCUUCAGGAGGAAGCCGGGGAGACUCAACAUUUUAAAGAAAUGACUUUGGACAGUGGUUUGGACAGAGCGAGCAACUGUGGGGCUGUUUUAGGCAUUAGGGACAAAGCGCUUUCAAUCUAAGUAGCAGAGUAACAUCCCCUGAGGAGGAAGGGUGGAGCCGUGCAGAGGGCUCAGCCGGUAAGAGCGAGCGCUCCUGGGUAAGAGCACUCCUGCAACAGCGUGAAGACCUGAGCUCCGCCCCCCAACACCUACACAAGAGCUGGGUGCUCUUAUGCACGCCCAUCACCCUAACACUGGAGGAGAUGGGACAGUAGGAUUAUUUGGGUUCUCUGGCUGAAAGCCAUCUUCAGGUCCAUCGAGAGACCCGGUCUCAAGGAAUAAAGUGGAGAGUAACAGACAGGUCACACGGUGUCCUCCUCUGGCUGCUGUUCACAAGCAUAUAGGUGCACACACACACACACACACAUGCAUACAUACAUACACACACAUGCAUAUACAUACACACAUGCAUACACGUACACACAUACACAAAUGUGUACACACACAUGCAUACACACACACAUACACACACAUGCAUACACACAUACACACAUGCAUACACAUACACACACAUACACAUACACACAUGCAUACACACACAUAUAUGCAUAUACACAUACACACACACACACACACACACACACACACACACACACACACAGAGCCAUUGAGGUAGUUCAGCUUAAAGAGGUGCUUUUGGCCAAGGCUGACAACUUGGUCCAUAGUGAAGAAGAGAGCUGACUCCUGUGUGUUGACCUCUGACCUUUACACAUGAGUCAUGUCAAGUAUACAGGCCCCUUAGAAAGAAAAAGAAGAAAAUCUCCAAAUAAAUGUAAACAAAGAAGAGGGAAAAAAAUGAUAUCACAGACAUUUGCCAUCUAGUGAGCAGUAUCAAAUUCCCCCUAAAUUUAUAAACUCUACGAAGUAUCUGUAAUUCUGCUAUAAAAAAAAAAACCCAAACACUAACAUAUGUGCACUGAAAAUCUGAGUGACUUCUUUAGGCUUCUUGAGCCGUAAUUCAGACUAAUGGUUCAGGCCUAUGACCAUGAUUAAUAGGAGGCUGAGGCAUGAGGACCAUAAGUCCACAGCCAGACGACAUACACAAAGCGAGAAUCUGUCCUGAAAGUCUUAGAGGAGGGAGAUGGCAUGCAGAAGGCCUGGCUUCCGCCCUCAGUUUCCCUCCGAAGAGUUGCUCAAUGCUUAUCCAGCUUCAUGGCUACUCUGUGAGGCAGACACCUUCAGUAAAGAACACCUCAAAUCUCUACUGUGCUGCCUGCACCGCCCCAAACCCUUCGUGUCACUGGCCUUCGGUGACCUCUCCAAUAAGCAAAAUACAGAACGGCGGUGUCUGAGUCCGUUUUUCAGAUCAGUGAUAGAAGAAACGAAACAGCCUGGAAGAGUGGGUUUUCCAAAGACUAAACUCUAGUGGUUCUCCUGAGUGGGCGGAAGGUUUCCCUCAGUCAGCGGGGACUAGGAAAAAGAGAAUACGUAACAUGGAAUAAAGACCGGACACCGGGUUCUUCACAGCCCUUGAAGCUCAAAGUGGCAGGAAGGCCUUUAAUUAGUCAUCGUGAAUGGGUCCAGGGGAGCAUCCUAAUGACAUCCUCCUCCCCAAGGCUGGACGCCCGUUCAGUGCAAGCGAGGCAUGGGGGGGGGGGCACACUUCGUCAUCUGUCAGACUCUGUCACCAGCAGAGAUUUCCAUCUUUUGUAAACCAUCUUUUAUUUGGGGAAAGAAGGGAGUGUUGAUUUUUUUUUUCUACCUUUGUCUCUUCUCGGAAGGUUACCCGUAUUCAACUUCUUCAUUUCCUCUGCGCGCAGAGCCAUGUUGCGAUAGAAUUAAAUGCACAGUCAAACGACCAUGUGAGAAAGGUUUAUGCAUUAUGUUAAAACCUGCUCCCUUGAUAAAUGGAGCCAUUAGGCUCUGGAAUCCACUGCAUUAGUCUACUCAGCUCCCACCCAACAACUGGCCUGAAAGUCUCACAGAUUCCUUCAAAUGCUAAUGAGCUGAGCACCAAAGCCUCCAAGGCUGUGGAAGGAUCCAGUAUUCCAGGAGUUUAAUUCCGUUAAGAGUUACUGGUAGAUGCCCUCUACCUGACUUGGCAGUUCAAGGCUGCACACGUUAAGACAGGGGAUGUGUAAUGUGGUUCACACCCUGGAAGCUUCUGAAAAGACCCUUUGUGAGCGUUAGCAUGGCUCCCUUUAGUAUCAAUUUAGCUCCUUUAUUGUAAGGAUGGAUAGGAUGCGGAGAAAGGCCUCCAUCAAAAGGUGUCUGUCUGUCUGUCUAUCUAUCUAUUAUCUAUCUACCUAUCAUUCAUCCAUCUAUUGAAUAUCUAUCAUCUACCUAUCAUCUAUCUAUCUAUCUAUCUAUCUAUCUAUCUAUCUAUUAUCUAUCUACCUAUCAUUCAUCCAUCUAUUGAAUAUCUAUUAUCUAUCUAUCUAUUAUCUACCUAUCAUUCAUCCAUCUAUUGAAUAUCUAUCAUCUACUUAUCAUCUUUCUAUCUCUCUAUCUCUCAUCUAUCUAUCUAUCUAUCUCUAUAUCUAUCUAUCUAUCUCUCUAUCAUCCACCUCUAGACAAAAGGUAUCGUGCUGAUCAUCUUUUCUUAUGACUUUAUGCCUUCUCUGAGCUUCCCCACAGGGACAAUGACAAUAGGCAUUGAUCCCUUAUAGACAUUUGCACCUGGCAAUGUCUUGAUCCGCCAACUUUGCUUGAGAAUCUCCUGUGGGUUAAGUGCUAUAACAGAUGUUGAACCUUUCUCCUACUGUCUCUUUUUUCUCUCUGGAAGUUAAACUUUGGUUUUAAAUCUUUAUUAUUUUGUGUGUGCAUGUGUGUGAUGCUUGCUCAAACAUGUGUGUAGAGGUCAGAAGACAACUUGUGAGAGACAGUUCUUUCCUUCUAUCAGGUAGGGAUUGAACUCAUAUCAUCAGGCUUGGUGACAAGUGUCUUCUCCCACUGAACCAUACUGCUAGCCCUUCUACUAUCUUUUGAGUGACAGUGGGCUCACUUUGAGAGGCAAUUGUUAGGCCCAACUCUGUGAGUGCAGGACCCAGGUGGCAGGUUGACCAUAUCUUAAGAUGCAAUGAAAUCUUAAUUUUCUUGAAAAUAUUCUGGGCACCCUCCAGCCCCCACGAAAGCUGUGUAACCUGGUGUGGUUGUGGUUGCUGAAGAAUUAGCUUGUGGGUUAUAAAUGAUUUUCCUUUUAAGGCAGAAUCUCAUGUUGUUCAGGCUAGACUUGAAUUUGUUCACUGUAUCAGCCAAGGACAGCUUUGAACUUCUGGUCCCGAUGCUUCCACCUCAGGAGUGCUGGGAUGGCAGGCUUGUACCACCACACAGUUUCCUGUGGUGCUGAGGAGGAAGUAGGGCUUCCCGCAUGCUGGGUAAGCACCCUACCAACUUAACCCUCAUUCCCACGCAGCUAUGCAGGCAUGUCAAGGCUGACUGGCUGAAGGUGGCUAUGAGGAGAAAACUGGUCUAAGAGCUCAAUCUUUCCACCAAAACAUUUGGUUGACAGCAAGCCCCCCCCCCAACCCCCUUGGCUCCCCUCCUUUACCCCACUUCCUGCUAUAAGCCUAAGCCCUUACUUAGCUCUAUUUCUUCUAUGAGCUAGACCACAAUUUUCUGAAACUAUUUCCCUUCAUCUCCUGCUCCCUAGACACAGACGACAAGAGCCACACUCUUGUAUUUGAUCCUGUGACCAGUGCCACUUUAUCUAAGUAUGCUGAGGCACCGAAGAGAUCAUACUGAAGUUGCUCAAGGGAUUGAGUCCUGCCCGGGGAAACCAAACCAAAUGUGCACUGGUUAAGAACCAGUGCAAGCUUAAGUCGCACUCAUUAAUGACUCCAAAACCUAAUCAGUAACCAUGAAUCAUCAAAAGGAAGGGGGAAAACAUGCCUACCAAGGAAGGCAAGAGCCAUCUUCACAGCCUCGUCUGUGCAGUGUCCUCCACAGCACUGGGAUUCAUGGGAAAUUCCAGUGGUCUGGUGGGUGCCUCGCAUACCACUGAGCACAGAGCCAGGGUCUCUAGAGGCUGAAUUUAGGUCAAACACAACGUGAGGGGGAAAGAGAGCCAGAGGAAGAUGGAUAGGAGAUGACACUUGCUCACAAGGAGUAAGAAGAGAAGGAAAAGUCUUCAUAGGUAAAGAAGCACGACCACAUUGCAAGCCACUGAGGAGUUUGGGUCCAUAAGACGGAAAAACUAAGGAAUGUGGUAAAGAGAGAGAUGGGGGGUUUAUUUCUGACCGGUGAAGUACAGACAGCAGCCAGGAUUCCCGAUGGAGACGGGUUGACAUUAGUCAGGUAGUCUAGAGCUAGGAGUGCACAGAUUGGGAGAGAAGUCAAGAAAUAUUCCCUCAUACAGGUGAAGACUUUAGAACAAACCAUGUGGCCAGACAGUUCUAUGGGCAUAGGUUUGGUGACUAAGAAAUGGGGUGGGCCUGUAGCCAUUCCUGAGUUCUUAGUCAUGUGCCUGGUCACCGCACCACAUUCAUUUAUUUCUUGAUCUCGUAUCUUGGCCAUUUCUGGUCAAGGUCAUUGCUUAGACCUCAUCUGUCUCAGGGAAAUCUCCUGCUUCAGUUUCCACAACCUAAAUCCACAGAACAUACCCAGAGGUCUUGCUGGCAGUAAAACCGAACAGCAGCCUCAGCCCCUACGACGGAAGAUCAUCUGGCAGGCUCCAGAUGGAUCCCGGAGUCAUGUCUGACUUAAAAAUGGCUGAAACACGGAAAUCGUUAACUAGCCUCAAUGAAAACAUAUUAUGAUCUUACCACGCUCCAGGUACAGGGGCAAUACUCUUGGGGAGUUCACAUUGUAUUAUAGAAGCAAAAUCAGAAUAAUUUCAGAUAAUUACUAUCUUAGAGAAAGAUGAGGAAGGGAAGACCCAAGAGGCUAACAAAUCCUUUCCGUAAAUGGGCAGGCAGUGAAUGCUUUCGGCUUUCCCAGCCGUUAGCUCUCGUCCAAUGGCUUAAGUGGCCUGCGGUAACACAGAAGCAGCCACAGACAGAAUGUCAACGCACACCAUGGAUGCUAAUAAAACUUUAUUAACAAAGUUAGGCAGCAGGCACAUAUGGGUCACAGUAUCUAGUUCCAUAGUCGUGGGACGGAGACUUGAGGCACUGUUUAGCUGCUGUGUUACAGACAGACUUUUCUCUGUGACCUCAGCAGGUAGAGCAGCCGGGGACACAGCUAAGAAGGGGACAGAGGCGGGAGAAGCAGAGGUGUGGAAACAGAGAAAUCGGCACCACCUUCACUUGAUCUUAGCCAAAAGGCCGAGAAGCGAUCGGCACCACCUUCAAGCCGGGUAAGUCACCCAAAGAACCGUGCUUAACCUGAGGAUGGUGCUGUGGCUGCAAACGGUUUUGGAACCUCAUCUUUUGUCAUUUUCGGGGCUCAGAAGAUGGGCUUGGGUGGAGGUCACUGCCUGGCGACUAAGCUUUUCUGUGACUGAGGAGGUAGAACUGGAAACUGCGAUCCUCAUUGUAAGGUUCGAUGUGAUAUCAUAUCGUGCUGAGCUCCUGUUUCUGAUCUUGAAUCAAAUACACUGGGCACAGUGUAUCUGGGCACGGAUGGAGACUGCCGUAGGCACAGUGUAUCAGGUAUGGGGAGAUAGAUACACCUUUUAUUCCAGCACUCACGAAGGAGAAGCAGAGGCAGAGGGAUUGCUGCAAGUUCGAGGCCAGCUUGGUUUACAUAGUGAAAUCCAGGCUAGCUAGGGACACGAACCUAGUGAGACCCUGCCUCAAAAAAUACAUCAUAAAUAAAUCAUUAAAUAAAUAGCCGAACUUGGAGGAAGCUCAACACCUCAAAUGUAUUUAAAGCACGCCCUGACCAAGGACUGUUACUUAAGAGAUUAUAAAAAGAUAUGGCUGGUUGGUGAUUUUAAUAAAAGCCACUGGAAGAAAAUCGUGAUUCUUACAUGGCUCCACAAGGGUCUCUCCCAUUAUCUGAGAACAGAUUCACCUUGAAGAUGAAAAUUUAACAACCUGCAGACCAAAUUUGGCCUUCAGAUUCAUUUUGCACGGCUGUUAGCCAACAAUUCGAAGCCAGAAAAUUCAGCCUAAGAAUCUGUACUCGGGGCUGGGGACUCAGCACCUUGGUGGCAGAGCUCCUGCCUAGAGCUCAGGCCCGUGGCUCAUUUUCCCGACUCCAAGGGAGAGGACAAACUGGGUUUCUGGUUUGCUUAUUGAACACUGGCUGAAUGAGGCCUUCUCCUAGUAAUAGGGGCUGAAGCAAAGGCCAGCGGACCCUUCACGCAGGCCUGAGCCACAGGCUUGGUGUCUGUCUGUCUGUCUGCCUGUCUGUCAGUGGAAGGUUUUCUAGUCUGGGAAAAGUCUGUAAGAAUUUGGAAGGGAGAUGCAGGAGGGGGGCAUCCAGGAGAAACAGGGAAGGGAGCACAGGAUAGAUAUUACCAACAUAUAAAUGAAAUUAAAAAUAUAUAAAAUUGUGAAUAGAAAUUCUAUUAUUUUUAAAUUAUUGACUUAGUUUUUAUUUGGUUUUGCUUGUUUGCUUGCUUUGGGGAUAGGGCCUUGCUAGGUAGCCUUACUUGGCCUGGAACUCACUAGGUCGACCAGAUGGCCGUGAAUUCACCAACUCACAGAGCCUUGCCUGCCUGUGCCUCUCAAGUUCUUGGAUUAAAGGUGUGUACUACCGUACCUGGCUAGAAGAAAUUAUCAAUGAAAAAGUACCGACAAUCUGUGAAUAUGAAAUUACUGUCUGGUCGUGGGGCAGGCAAGGAGGCUCACUGGGUAAAAGUGCUUGCUGUGUAACAAUGGAGACCAGAGGUCUUGCUCCAGCAUCCUGGUGAAAAGCCACUGAGGGUAUGGGUAGGGCAGGUGUGGUGAGGAUGGGGUGGGGGUGGGGGUGGGGGAUGGUACCUGCCUGUAACCACAGCACUGGGAAGGCAGAGGCAGGUGGUUUCCUAGGACUUACAGAUCAGCCAGGCACACCCGAUCAGGAAGUUCCAAGUCCCCCAAAUCUGUGGACACUGCAGGUAAUCAAGUUGGCUCCUACAUUAUCAAACACCCAGCAUUAUGGGGCAAUGUAAAGAAAGAGACAGCCCAGAAAGGAGAGUGACAACCUCAUCAGCCAAUAAACCUCCUACAGAUAGUCAUUCACCAACGUGAGGCUGGGAUCCCUGGGAGGCCCUUGCAAGAGAGCAGCGCCCCCCUUCAGGUCGAUUUGUUUGUUCAGUCUUUUGUUUUAGCAGCCUCCCUGGACUUUGUGUGAAGCAAACUGUUUCCAAAGCUUCACGGGAGGAUUUUGGAGUUGGACUUGGGAGAGCUUGUUAGCGUCUCUCGUGGAUUUGCUUUUGUUCACACUCUGUAAUAUUUUCCUUAAAAGAUGCGUGGCACAGGUGUGCUCGCCUUCCUCUAGACUUAGAAUAAUGUGCUUAAACGAGCUUGACAAGAGGUAGGGCGUGCGGCUUUCUUUUAGCUGUCUGAGAGCAAUCUCACACACCGGAACUGCCAGGCAGCAACUGAAAACCGAAAGACUCCAUCAUUAUCCCAAACAGGUGACACGUUUCUCUACUUUCUCUAAGUAGACCACGUAACUAAGAUGGACCACGCCUGGGUGGAAGGGAAGCAAGAGACAGGAGAAAAAACCACCGGUACUGGUUUCCGGAAUCAGGAUGUAACUGGUCCCAAACAGAGCCUGUGAAUCACCUGCUGUGUUUCCCUCCCCAAGCUCCCUCUGCGUCUGACUCCAUCUUCUAAUGCUCAGAGCAAGAUGUGUGGUCCAGACCCCCGGGGACCUUUAAAUCUGUUUUAUUUAUUUAUUUUAACACCAAUAGGCUGUGGACCUCAUGGCCAAGAACUGAUUCGUACAACAGCCACCCCGCCCCCACCCCGUUCGCUGAGGAUGUGGCUAUAAAUUAGGCACAAUGGUCUUGUCCCCACGGCCUCCAUACCCGGGUCGGUGCACAACACAGGACAGUGGCUUCUAUGGACCGUCUGAGUGAUCAAAUUUCUGCUAAUGCCGAGCUUCAUUAAGGCCCCAGCGCACACUCCUGCUUUGGCGCAGGUCCCUCCAUGGAGUGGUAAUUCCUACAUUUGCGCACGGAUCAAAAAUGUUUUAUGUAUGUGCUUUUUCCAAAGAGUCUUAAAAUUUUCUUUUCUCGGCAUAAUAGGUUGCUACUCUUCCUAUUGAUUUCCCUAAAGAGUACAAGCCUAUUCCAUUAGAAAUAGACAAGAAAACACACACACACACACACACACACACACACACACACACACACCCCACACUGGCUUUAAGCUGAAUGAAUUCUGUAUCUUUUUCUUCUUCUUUUAAUCAUGUAUUUUCGGAGAAGGGGGCUGGCUACGUUGAUCAGGAGUGGAUGUGCAGUGUGGUGCCUACUGCAGAAGGCUGGUCUGGUGCUGCUAUGCAUUCAAAUGCUAAACACAGGUCCCCAAGAUCCCCAUGUCCCUGAAGCCAAGUGAUGCUUUGUAACCUUGCUCCCCAAGUUAACUGGUCAAUAAAAGGCUAAAGCCUGUGAUUGGGCAGUAGAGAGAGGCAGGUGGAUUUUCAGUGACCCGGCUGGUCCCAGGGAGCGAUUGGAAAAAGGAAGGAAGGACUCAGAAAGAGGAGGAAGCCACCAUGACAGGAGAUGGACUGUGAGCAUGUGGCCGGGAGAGACAUUGAGUAACAGGGGACAUAUGGCUCACAUUAAAAUAGCCCCAAAACCUGCUCGACCAAGGCUUACAGCUUGUAAAUCAAAUACAAAUACUGGGUUGCGUGUGUCUUACACGGGCUAGCUAGACUUUGUGAUUCUUCCUGCAGCCCGAACCUGUUCUCUGCACCAAGUUUUCAUGGGGACGCUUGCUUAGCAUCUGACAGGGGCAUGGAAGCGCCUGCCUGUGUAAGAUCCUGGCUCAGAAAACAAGCAAACAAAUGACGUAAAUAAAAUAAAGAGGGAAAAUUUAAAUGCCAAAAGCUAGCGACAGACAAGCAAAGGUAGAUGCUGCAAGAGGGCUUGGAACGGUGAAAACGUCUGUCCUGUGGUGGCCAAGUGAGCUAACAGAAUGAUUAGUAUCCAGAUGAAGGAAUGUUACCUGGAAAUAAAAGGGAAUUAAAAAGCUGACCAGUGCCCUUGACCGAGCCUCGAAAACACACCGAACAGGAACAAAAAUAAAAGAAAUAAAACUCAAAUACUUUCAGAUGUUAUUUACUUUAAAGUUUCAAGAUAGACAGUCCAUGGAGACAGAAAGUGGUGGUUGAGAGGUGCGGAGUGGAUCACGGGGGAUUCAUGUGGUGUCAGUGGAGAUGUGGUCUCUUAGGAGGUGAGGAAGACAUCCUAAACUAGACUGUAGCGAAGGUUGUGUGACUCCAUGAAGUUUCUACAAUAGGCUUGUUUGCAUUUUGCACUUUAAAGAUGUGAUUUCUACAUGUGUGCAUUAGGCGUAUCAAGAAAGAGUGCAGCCAGGCAUGCAGAUUGGUUGGUAGAGGGUUUACUGAGCGUGCACCAUGCCUAGCAAUCUCUCCGUUCCAUUGCCAGCACUGCAGAUGUUGGGCAUAACAGUACAUGUUUGUACUCCCAGGAGUCAGGAGGCAACACCAGGAUACGCAUGCAUUCAAAGUGUCCCUUGCCUAUAUGGGAAACUUGAAGCCAGAAAUGGCUGGAGAUCCUGUCUCGAAAAAGGAAGAAGAAAAGAAAGAAAUAGAAGAGUGUAUGACCAUGCCAACGUGUGCUGUAUACAUGUGUGAAACUGUCAGAAAGUAAAUUUAAUGAAUACAAAAAGGUAGGGAGGGAAGGAAGGAGGGGAGGAAGGAGAAGAGGAAGGAAAGAAGGAAAAGAGGAAGGAAAGAAGGAAAAAAGGAAGGAAGGAAGAAAGGAAGGGACAGGAAACCAGGCAAGCUCUAGCCAUUGAGCUAUGUAUGUAAAAGAACAUCAAUCAGGAUCUCAAAGAAAUAUUUGUGAACCCAGGUUCAGAGCGGCACAGACAGCCACCACAGUCUACACAGCCAAGAAGCAGAACAGCCGACUGUCCGUCCAGAGAAGGCCAUUCCUGCCGUUUAUUCUCGACUGAGGGAUCCCGAGUUCAAAAUGAGUUAUGGAAAUACUGACUUCUCUGUUAGCCACAUGAAAAUUCACCUCCUAGCUGUUCUGAGGAGGCCUGUAGCAUGGCUGGUGACUGCUGUUGGGGCCUCCCCUGAGUCAAUGGGCAUUGUCCACUCCAGCGUCUGAUAUGAAUUCCGGACGUGUUCUAGAACCUUCUCAACUGUGCUGUUCCUUCAUAGAUGAUGGCUUUUUUCUACAGACUCUGGAGCUUGCCAGACACUAAGAACCUUUGUAGAGGGACUUGGAUGAAACCCAGAUAACAUGCUCUACGGUAAAGUUCCAGGCCAACAAGGGGCUCUGUCUCAAACAAAAGUUGGGAAGCACCCCGGGGUACUGACAUCUGAAGUGAUUCUCAGGCCUCCACACACACACUGUAUAUUCAUAAUGAUCUUGUUUUUCCAAAGACAUUGUGCUGUGUGCUUCGCCUCCAAGUCCUUUCUCCGCUCUACUUGAUAGGCAGGUGCAAGCUUCCAAAGUCACCUGUGACAGAAGCCACGUGUGGUGGUUUGUAUAUGCUUGACCCAGGGAGUGGCAUUAUUAGGAGAUGUGGCUCUGUUGGAGUGGGUGUGGCUCUGUUGGAGUGGGUGUGGUCUUGUUGGAGUGGGUGUGGUCUUGUUGGAGUGGGUGUGGCCUUGUUGGAGUAGGUAUGUCACUGUGGACAAUGUGCUUUAAGACCUUCGUCCUAGCUGCCUGGAAGCCCUUCUUCUCCUGUUCGCCUUUGGAACAAGGUGCAGAACUCUCAGCUCUUAGAAGCUGUCAAUGUUUCUGACUUGAUAAUGGACUGAACCUCUGAAACUGUAAGCCAGCCCCAAUUAAAUGUUGUCCUUGUAAGAGUUGCGUUGGUCAUGGUGUCUGUUCACAGCAGUAAGACCCUAACCGAGAUACCUCGUCUGCAUGGGGUCACUAUGUGGAGCGCCUGAAGAGUACACCAAGACAAGCUGGGAUAUCUUUGUUCACUAAGGAUUGUUCAUGCCCCAGCUUGGGGAACAGAAAGAGGUAAUCACAGGUAGCCUCUUAGGGAAGGUGACAUCUCCGGAGAGUUCCCGAGUGAACAGGGCAUUGGGAUGGGAAGCAAAUCUUGCACAAGAACUGAGCUUACGCAAGAGAGGGACUAGAAGGAGCCGGUUGAUACAGUUGACAUCCAGCUAGAGCUGGGGCAGGCCCUGGGCUCCUGGUUCCUCUCAGCUGAUUUGUCUGCCAGAUCCACAAGCAGCCACCAUCAAAAUUGCUUUCCUUCCCUAUGCAUAGCGACCUGGCCAGGGCCACUGACAGCAUCUCACAAGCAGGGUGGCAGGGACAACCUCCAUGACCCUAGGAGGACACACAGUUCUUCUACUCACACACAGACAUGGAAAUUGAACCUCGGGACCCGUGUAACUUCCCAGAUUCAUCAGGUAAUGAGGAGCAGGGUUAGAAAGUGGUCUGAGGCAGGAGAAUGGCAUGCAGGGGCCAUCCUUAAACAUACAAGUGUUGCUAUCCCACAGCUGUGGUUCCCCUGGGGGGAUAAGCAGCAGUGUCUUGGGACACUGGCUGACAACACUGACCACCUGGGAGUGGCUGCUACUAGCCGUCAGGUUAGAAGCCAAGCACGCUUGUGGUUAUUUGAAUGAAAAUAGGCCACACAGACUUAUAUGUUUGAAUACUGAUUCCCCAAUCAGUAGUCCUGUUUGAGGAGUCUUAGAAGGUGUGGACUUGCUGGGCAAGGUGUAACAUUGGGAGCAGGCUUUGAGGAUUUAAAGCCUCACAUGUCUCCUGUGAGCUGUCUCUGCCCCCUGCUUGUGGAUGGAGGGGCGAGCUCCAAGCUGCAGCUCCUGACAGGCACAACCCUGCUUUUACUGCUCCGUCACAACUCUGGAACCAGAAGCCCAGAUAACCACUUUCUUCUGUAAGUUGCCUUGGCCUUUUAUUGCAGCAACAGAAAAAUAACUAAGAUUUCUCUCACCGAGUGCAGGCAACGGGAUGGUCUGCCUCUAAGGGUCAAAAGGACAGGGGAAAGCCAGCCUCACCCAGUUUGGUGUAGGUCGGGAAAGAUGCAUGGAUCCCUGGCCUUCUUGGAAGUAAAAGUUCAGAGUUUCCUAAUGUGGUGUGGGCCACAGUAGAACAGCGGAGGGCCUAGGUAAUUACUGGUCUAGGGCAUCAACUGUGGGAAACAGCUGCAGCUCGUGGGGGCAGCACCACGUCAGGAUCAAAGCAAAGCCUUACUCUCCUUUUAUUUGUGGGGUACUAGGGAUUUAGCCAGUCUUCACAUAUGCUCAACAAAUGAUCCACCCAUUUGAACCUGCCGGCCCCUCUUUUUCUUUUGAGACAGGAUCUUACUAAUUGGCCUAGGCUGCCCUUGAACUCACUCUGUAGCCCAGGCAAGCCUUGAACUCAACAAUACCCCCCCCCCCCCCCCCGCUCCAGCUUUCCUGAGCAUCUCACUGUCCCACUGGGCUGGGUGUAAAGAGAGGUCUUCAGCAGAGGACCGGAAGCUGUCUCCCCGGAAGCAGACUUCCCACCCCUGCAGUUUCAGCUUGAUGAGGUGCCCGUGGGCUGCACACGGGGAGGGGUCAGAGGUCAUCUGCCGGAAACCUCCCUCCUGCCCGCGCCUGGCAAAUCAAAGAACCGGAGGUAGGUGUCAAAGCGAGAGGGAGUCUUUCCAUCCCACCCCAAGGCAAGGCGGCAUGAUGGCCCUGUGUUGGAUCACAAGGGACUCGUCUGCUGAAGAAAGGGGGCCUUUCUGGGGGCCACAGAAAAGUAAAUGGCCAAACCCUGGGCAGGAGAUGAGAGGGCUUGCCUUCUCGGUAGAGCAGGAAAACAAUUAAUCCCGAUUUUGAAGAAAAGCAGUCCUGCCUUAGAAGUCAUUAUUUCACGCCCUUUCUUUCUCUCUCUCUCUCUCUCUCUCUCUCUCUCUCUCUCUCUCCUUCCUUCCUUCCUUCCUUUCCUCCUCUUCCUCCUCUUCCUCCUUCUCCUUCUUCUUCUAGGUAGGUGGAGGAAUUUGAAUGGGAAUGAGGAUCAAAGAGCAGAGGGAAGGGCCCACCACGGCUCUUCCUCCCUUGUGUGUGUGAGGAGGACUGAUUAAGAGCUGUAAGGUGGGAGCAAGGUCCCUGCUGUCUGUACCCGUGUACUGAAAAGGACACAGAUGCCAGCCAGGUGUCAGCCAGGAUCCCCCGUGGGUCACUUGCACACCUGUGGCCUUGGCCUUGCCAGCCCUCCCCUCUGAUCGCCAUUCCCAGAGAAGGAAAGGUGAUGACAUCAUGUACUUUAUGGGGUCAAAGCAGACAGAGAGCUCGUCACCAUAGCACAUUGCACAGCCACAUCAUGCACCCCCUGUAUGGGACAAGCUGACGCGGAGAAGAAUUCUGGUGUGGAAAGUAUUUUAUCACAGGAACACUCUCCUAUCUCAGCUCUGGUAGAGAAUGAUUCUUCUUGUCCCCAAGUGGCCCACAGGUGUGUUUUUCCUGGUUGUCAUAGUAAUUUUUUUAACUCCAAAAUAUUUGUAGUUCCUCUGUUCCCUUUUUCCUCCCUUUAGCAAUAUAUCUUCUGAUAGCUAGCUGAACAUUGGGGCCAGGCAGAGUACAACUUAUAUGUGUUAGCUUCCCUCAGGUAGAUGGGCCUUAUCAGCUACAUAUCAGACAACGAGAUGACAGGCGUUACAGCUUUUAAGGACAGCCACAGAGCACUCCUGCCCCUGUGUACACUGGAGACGGACAAAGCCUGGAGUAAGCUCAUCUGGAAGACAGCGCACUUUACUACGGAAUCCAUUACCCUGAGAGCCCUGCCUGUGGGAUGGUACUAGGCACCAACCACAUUCACAAUGGAUCUAUCCAGUUCAGUGAAACUCUUCUGGCACACCCAGAGCCAUGUCUCAGUUUCAAGUUGGCCUUUAGCUUCCACCGUAUUUCCCCAUAUAUGCGCUUAGCAUAAUCUUGGCCUUCACAGUCCUUCAGCUCCAUCUCCACUCAGUCACCUUCAGUCAUCCCUGCCCUCGGAUGUUGCUGUAUCCACAUGCCGCAUCAUGGUUGCAGGACACCAGAAGGACGCCCUCUCCGGGCUCAGGUAUCAUUACUGACUAAGGACAAAUUUCUUCUGUUUGGGAGCAGCCCUUUCAUGGAGGGCUGAGACUCGUCAGCCAGCGUGCCCCUCAUCACAAAGAGCUGAGAAGGCAACCCAGACUUUCCCUUCCUUGUCAAACAAACUGGCAACCUAAAGUUACACAAUCUAACAUUCCCGGAAACUUCAAUUUGCUUCUCAAAAGUCUAGCUGGCAUCAGUUGGUGGAAACCUCCAGCUUCCCUCAUUUCUGUUUUUGUGAUCUGUGGGGCGGUACCAAGAUACCUCGGUGCCUAACCUGCGUGCGUUUGCAAACUCUUUGGAGAGACAUAAAGAAAUGCUGCAUUCAAAUAAAGACCGGUGGUUCCGAAGAGGGGGGAGAUACUGCAAAGUCAGCCUGGUACCCUGUUGAUCUUAAAGCUGAAACUUUGAUCUACAACCUUUCCAGCAACCACAUUUGGACAGGAGGAUCAGAAAUAAAACUGUUUUUUUUUCCUCA